CCACGAGCAGCUCCACUGCUUGACGCGUGGGAUUGCCCAGUUUUUGGGCAUCGCGGAGCACAUGCCCUAUCUCUUGCUGCACAUCUCUCUCCACUUCCGCUGUUCCGCGCGAUCUCCUCCACCAAACUCACCUUCAUUCAAUGAUCUUGCCCCGCUUUGCAAUCUCUCAUGGCCGACACCUUGGUCUAUCGGGCGCAGCUCAUGCUCAUCUCCGAUUCGCCGUGCCUGCCGUCGCGGCGCCCCACCUCCUCCCGGCCCCGGCGUACGCGCGCCCCGGCCGCUACGACAAGGCGAGAACCUGCUCACCGUCCGGGACCAUUGCCCAUUUGCUUUUUCCUGCCUAGGCGCCCCGGAGAUCUCGCACUCAUGGGGAUGCCGUCCGGGAUAUUCCUGCGCUAUCUCCGCGUCGACUCCGCCCACAGGCGACGCCAUCGUGCGCCGCUCUGCCUGCUCUGGAACCAUCCCGCCGAUGGAGGCGGCGGCGGGUAGGCUCAGGAGGUUCAUCCUCUAAACUCGGUUCGCAACCGGUGUCAGCUCCGUGUUCGGAUCGGCAAUCGACUCUCGGACCUCCUCUCCUACGUGGUCAACUUCAAGAUGAAGUCCCUGCAGCGUGCCUUCAUGUAUUCCGGUCGGACCUCACCGCCCGGCAUGUUGCACUUCCCCUACUGCCGCAGGCAGGGCUUCUUUUCACGCUCUGUCACAUGCCUGAUUCUCCUCCUUCAUAUCCAUAGAAUGAUCUUGCCCACCACAUGUUCGUUCGAAUGUCCAACAAUUUGGGCAUGGAUGAUUGCCGAGUGAGUUUUAUGUUUUCCAUGUGUCUUUUAGUGGAAGUUUUAGUUUGAUUCGUGUAGAUAGAGAUAGUUUCAGAUCUGAUAUAGAUAUGGAUAUUACCUUUUAACGUUUUUGAUCUCUGGUUGAAUAAUUCUUUUUUGUCAGCAAGAAAUGAACUUAAGACACAAAAAUGCUUAUCUUAAAUGUGUUUCAAGGAUAAGACACUUAACUUCUGCUUUGAGCGGCGAGAUGCAGUCAAAGAUGGCAAUUGCAGUGUUGAUCUGGUGAUAAAUUCAGAUUUAGGUGGCCUUGCAGUGCUGACAGUGAUUCUUACUUCUUGGUUAGUCAUGUUGUUCUGCUAGGACACCUUUUUGGCAGCUCCAAGAUGCUUCUCACCACCGCCCUCAUGCGUCCAGGAAAGAGCAGCGGCGUUGAAGGAUUGGGCAAAGCUGCCCUGCACUUACGAGCCAGUGAGCUAGCUCUUGUGAGUUGCAUAUCCAACAAAAAAAGAGCAGUAGCAGCCCCAUGGUGAGCAUGGGGACACGGAGGCUAGCAACGACCACAUGGUGAGCUGAUGAGCUAGCUCGCCACUGAGGUUGCUUUCAGAUUUUCGCUGGUCAAAAUGGUUGAUGUGGAUCUAGAUGGGUUGUUUAGAUGUGGAUUUAGGUGGUUAUAAGGUCGUGAAGUUUCAUCAAGUGCGAUAAGUAUCUGGCAAUACUAAGCAUUAUUUGUUUUGGACGAGUCAAUCCUAUGGUGAUUUCUUCAAUUAGGUUAUCUGAAAUAGGCGCAUGGUUUGUUUUGUGGUGUUGACGAACUGCCAGCACAAAGAAAGCAACGUAUUAGUGGAUGGUGACAAGAAGACUGGUGUGUCUUAAGUUCAUGGUGUUCAAUAGGUAAGGGUAGGCGUGCUUUCUUUUUUUUAUGGCAAAAAAAUUAGGUGAUUCAUGUUAUUUUUCAUGCUCUAAAAGCCUUCACAUACAUAUUAGUUGGUUCACUGAUUCAUGUGAUUUUUCCUGCUCCAAAAUAUUUCUCAUAUAAUCAUGACAAUGAAGCAUCUAAUAGUCAAAUAAUGUUUGUUUUGGUGGUUUCAUUGUGUUCUCAGUGUGGUUAUUUAUUGAGUUUACCUAUAUUUCCCUUUUCUACUUUGUAAUUAUGAUGCACUUGAUUGCACAAGAUUUUUCUAUUAGCAUUCAGAUUUACGCAAAUGUGAUAGAUUUUUCUGGGUUUAUUUUUCUAAUACCAUAGUUGAUGGUGCUUUCUAGAAUAAGAUGGAGAAAGGUCCAAGCACUCAUGUAAAGUAUAUUUGCAUUAGCAUUAAUAUUUUGAUACGAUAGAAGAACUGAGCAUUCACCAUAUGUUGAUGUUACCAUUCAGGUUCAAUACUAAUAAGCUACACUAUGUUUAAUUUUAUUAAAAUAGUUCAAUUGAUACUUCAUUUGUAUAAUAAGAGUUUGUUUUGUCUGGCAGGAUUAAAAUUAUGCAUUAAAAAAUUCCACAUAUUUUAGUCCGGGAGGACAAAAUAAAUGUACUCCUGAACUAAAAGGUUGUUCUUAAUUGAAUUUUACUUCUACCUUUGACUUCAGAGGUUAUGCUCAAGUCCAUGAGCCAGCAAUAUAUAGCUUUAUAUUUUGUAACCAAUGACCAUGGUUUGAUGUUUGUCUUUCCAUAUAAAUUAUGUUAGUGAUUCCUUCAGAGUGUUGGUUCUUUCUCUGUUUGUGUGGCCAUGGAAAACCCAGAUCAGCGAACAGUUUGUUUUGCACCAUUCUUUGUGUCCAUGUUCUAUUUUUUGUAUCAACCAAAGCACGGAGUUAAAAUUCUAUAUUACUGUUAAAUCAAGCACUGCAGAAUAGAGACUGUGAACUGAGCCUAAACGAUGGAAGAAGAUUUUUUCUUCUCUGUCGACUAAGAACUAAGAACCCUCGAAAAUCUGUUGUUACUCUGAGGCUUUUUCACUUCAUGGUAAUUUGAUAGGAUUAAAAUUUACAUGUUUAAUGGAAGAGAGAAUAGAAAGGAACACAAAUUUAAAUGGCUUGCCCUUUGGCACUAUGUGAAAGAUUCCAGUAAGACAAUGGAUAAUUCCAAAGAAUGGUAUCCGAGGUUUAGUAGAAAAUGAGAUCUCUUGCAUGAUGUAAACAAAAUUUUGAAUUACGGUAUUUAUUCAUGGAUUAAACAAAAAUAGGAGACCAGAUCUAUGGCAUGUUGGCACUAGCACUACUGAAGUAAAACAAGUGCAGGGCUCUCCAUCAAGCAGACUGUCCAGCAUGCCACCUUCGGUAUGCUCCCUUUGGCAUUGUGUGAAAGAUUCCACUAAGACAAUGGAUAAUUCCCAAGAAUGGUAUCCGAGGUUUAGUACAAAAUGAGAUCUAUGGCAUGAUGUAAACAAAAAAUUGAAUUAUGGUAUUUAUUUAUGGAUUAAACAGAAAUAGGAGAUCAGAUAUAUGGCAUGCUGGCACUAGCACUACAGAAGUAAACCAAGUGCAGGGCUCUCUAUCAAGCAGACUGUCCAGCACACCACCUUCGAUACGCUCCCACCAUCACGUAUAUGCUGCAGUGUUUCUUUUUCGUUUCUCAUGUGGUCGAGCACUUGAGCCUUAGUAUGCCGAAGCUUGCAGUUUGAUUUUAUUGUGCUUGUAGAGAAAAGAAAGUCCAUGACCCCAAGGAGGUGGCAGGGCAGGGGGCGGCAGACUAUGCCAGGUAUACCAGGGGUCAUGGCAAAGGCCGGGCGUGGAGGGGGCCAUAUUUUGUGAUUACUUGGUCCUUCUACAAAACCAUGGUACCAGUUCAUUUUUGACAAAACAUGGAGAUUAUAAGUUAGUACAUUGGCCUUUUCUACUUCAUGUGGACAAAUGAACUAAUUAACAAUAUUUCGAGCAUUUAAUUCAAAGUAAUUGAUUAUUUAGGUCUAAUGAGUACUAAAUGUAUGUAUAGCUUGGUUAAUAACCAAUACAGGUAUUCUGCUGAAAUAAUUUUCUUCGACAUACAUGAUAAUAGUCUUUUAGCGUUUACUCUUGCAUUUGGAAGGGCUACAAAAUUUACAUUAUGUUCUAUGUCAUAUGAUUAUGUAAGAAUGGUGUUGCGGGCUUCGUGUUAACUGAUUAUGGUACAAUUUCAGUGAGAAGUUCCCUAUUACGGGUUAGGGCUUUGACAAUUUUUGAUGGAUCUCUUGAAGUAGUGGUUCUGAACUUGAUAAGAAGGAAACAAGACUGGAGUUGAUAUCUUCAUAUCGUUGACUAUGGUUGAUUCAAUACUAGAAGGAUGAAAGAAGCUUGCCAUGGUUGGUUUUGUACUACUUUGUAGGAGGCGAGGAGUUCUUGAGAAUUUACAAGGUUUAUGAACUCUGGGAGCUGGAAACAGAAACCACCUAUAUUGGUAGAUUACUUACCAAUUUACCUUGACAAGGACAAUUCAUAAGUAAUAUUGAGGAUAUUAUGGUUCCUCUUUGGUUUCAAAUUGCAGAGGCGCUACAUCAAAUUGCUUCAUUGUUUUUAGUGUAUACUUACAUUUAAAUUAGCUCCAAUGUUCCUAGGAAAGCUUAGCUCUGUAGCCAAAGGACCAUCAAAGCUACAUAAGAUUGCACACUAUAAGUUAUAAUGUUCCCUUCUGUGUACUACAGAUUUUUGGCAUAUAUGAAGUAGUUUCCAGAAGCAUAGCAUUAGAUGCUGAUGUAUAAUCAACUUGGCAGAGGUACCAUUCACAUUCUUCAAACUUCAGGACGAACUUGCUUGAGAACAAUGAAGAUAUCCACAUUCUUCAAACUUCAGCAAGCAGCAGUUGUUCUUGGGUCGCUGUCAAAGCCAUUGUAGAAGAGGUGAAUGUUAUCUUAUACAUCCAUGCGAUCAUCAACAUGAUGAGCUUGCAAACAUCUUUUCCCAGCAUAUUACGGGGGAAAAAUAACAGAUACCAUGGUACAUUGUUAUUUUUUCCUACUUUAUCAAUAAUAACUUGUAGCAUGUGUCGUGUAGGGGUCUUCAAACACCCAAAAUUGUGUGUCACAAUUGAUUCUGUUUUUUAAUACAAGAAAUAAAUGUAUUUGCUGCUUCUCAAUAUUUUGAGUCUGAAUUGAUUUAGAGAAGGUAUCCAUAUCUGUGGUGAUGUUCCUUCUUCAAUUUCUAUUUCGGUUUUGAUCUGUACUGUCGGUACUGUGGUACUACUCUGUAAGUUUUUUUACCAUUUUUUCCUCACAUGUUGUGCUAAAUAUGAGAGAAGAAUCUAGGAUUAAAGUUAGUGUGCAUGUAUUAGUAUAUGUGAUAUUUUGAAUAUGCAUCAAGUGAGCUACUUAGUUUUUCUCAAAGUAUAAUGUUUUAUAGGACAUAUGGGAAUGAGAAAGUUUAUGCCUCAGGAGGGUUUCUGCAACUUGACCCUGCAUGUCUGCCCAUCGACUGAGUGCAUCAUCGUCUUUUGUAACUCGACUCUUGCACGUCUCCUGACAAGAAAGAGGGCAUCAUCAGCUUUGAGUCAUGUCCCAUGUGUCAUUAUUCUUGAGAGAAGAAAAAUAUUGUUAUCAUGAGAUGACAGAACCAUUGCCAAUGUACGAACAACCAUUACUUCCAAUUUUUAGAGCAACAUUUAAUCAUGAAAUGGGAGGGCUAUUGUUUAGUGUGA
Long non-coding RNA from Lolium perenne, 5373 nucleotides. RefSeq lists it as uncharacterized. The record is from RefSeq and is a predicted model, not a curated record. Lineage: Eukaryota; Viridiplantae; Streptophyta; Magnoliopsida; Poales; Poaceae.